UACGUAGGGACCAAGCGUUGUUCGGAUUUACUGGGCGUAAAGGGCGCGUAGGCGGCGUGACAAGUCACGUGUGAAAUCUCCGGGCUUAACUCGGAACGGUCAAGUGAUACUGUUGUGCUAGAGUACAGAAGGGGCAAUCGGAAUUCUUGGUGUAGCGGUGAAAUGCGUAGAUAUCAAGAGGAACACCAGAGGCGAAGGCGGAUUGCUGGGCUGAUACUGACGCUGAGGCACGAAAGCGUGGGGAGCAAACAGG
This 253-nucleotide ribosomal RNA is filed under the name uncultured bacterium. RNAcentral describes it as "partial 16S ribosomal RNA". It matches the Rfam family "Bacterial small subunit ribosomal RNA", at positions 524 to 776 of the family's 1533-position model. The record is from RNAcentral.